CACCUACGGGUGGCAGCAGUAAGGAAUAUUGGGCAAUGGACGCAAGUCUGACCCAGCCAUGCCGCGUGGAGGAUGAAGGUCCUCUGGAUUGUAAACUUCUUUUCUCUGGGGCGAAAAACAGGUUUUCUAACUUGCUUGACAGUACCAGAGGAAUAAGCACCGGCUAACUCCGUGCCAGCAGCCGCGGUAAUACGGAGGGUGCAAGCGUUAUCCGGAUUCACUGGGUUUAAAGGGUGCGUAGGUGGGUUGGUAAGUCAGUGGUGAAAUCUCCGAGCUUAACUUGGAAACUGCCAUUGAUACUAUCAAUCUUGAAUACCUUGGAGGUGAGCGGAAUAUGUCAUGUAGCGGUGAAAUGCUUAGAUAUGACAUAGAACACCAAUUGCGAAGGCAGCUCACUACACGGUCAUUGACACUGAGGCACGAAAGCGUGGGGAUCAAACAGGAUUAGAUACCCUGGUAGUCCACGCCCUAAACGAUGGAUACUCGACAUCAGCGAUACACUGUUGGUGUCUGAGCGAAAGCAUUAA
This 527-nucleotide ribosomal RNA is filed under the name uncultured bacterium. RNAcentral describes it as "bacterial SSU rRNA". It matches the Rfam family "Bacterial small subunit ribosomal RNA", at positions 335 to 863 of the family's 1533-position model. The record is from RNAcentral.